GGGUGCGAUCAUACCAACAAUAAAGCAUCAGAUCCUAUCAGAACUCCGAAGUUAAACUUGUUUGAGCGAGAGCAGUAUUAGGAUGGGCGACUUCCGGGAAAGUCAUCGUGUUGCACCAU
This 119-nucleotide ribosomal RNA is filed under the name Rosa chinensis. The record is from RNAcentral. Lineage: Eukaryota; Viridiplantae; Streptophyta; Magnoliopsida; Rosales; Rosaceae.